Molecule: ribosomal RNA, 406 nt
Filed under: uncultured bacterium
Lineage: Bacteria
Description: partial 16S ribosomal RNA
Rfam family: Bacterial small subunit ribosomal RNA
Source: RNAcentral
AUUGAACGCUGGCGGCAGGCCUAACACAUGCAAGUCGAACGAGUGGCGGACGGGUGAGUAAUGUCUGGGAAACUGACUGAUGGAGGGGGAAAACUACUGGAAACGGUAGAUAAUACCGCAUACCAUCGGAUGUGCCCAGAUGGGAUUAGCUAGUCUGUGGGGUAAAGGCUAACCUAGGCGUCGACCCCUAGCUGGUCUGAGAGGAUGACCGGCCACACUGGAACGGGGACACGGUCCAGAUUCCUACGGGAGGCAGCAGGGGGGAAUAUUGCACAAUGGGCGCAAGCCUGAUGCAGCCAUGCCGCGUGUAGGAAGAAGGCCUUCGGGUUGUAAAGUACUGUCAGCGGGGAGGCGUUACCCGCAGAAGAAGCACCGGCUAACUCCGUGCCAGCCGCCGCGGUAAUUC